CAGCAAUGCCGCGUGAGUGAUGAAGGCCUUAGGGUUGUAAAGCUCUUUAGAGGGGAAGAUAAUGACUGUAGCAGGUAAAGAAACCCCGGCUAACUCCGUGCCAGCAGCCGCGGUAAUACGGAGGGGGUUAGCGUUGUUCGGAUUUACUGGGCGUAAAGGGCAUGUAGGCGGAUUGGACAGUUGAAGGUGAAAUCCCAGAGCUCAACUCUGGAACUGCCUUCAAUACUGCCAAUCU
RNAcentral lists this ribosomal RNA (235 nucleotides) under uncultured bacterium. RNAcentral describes it as "partial 16S ribosomal RNA". It matches the Rfam family "Bacterial small subunit ribosomal RNA", at positions 389 to 642 of the family's 1533-position model. The record is from RNAcentral.